Ipomoea triloba (trilobed morning glory) is the source of this 536-nucleotide long non-coding RNA. RefSeq lists it as uncharacterized. Lineage: Eukaryota; Viridiplantae; Streptophyta; Magnoliopsida; Solanales; Convolvulaceae. The record is from RefSeq and is a predicted model, not a curated record. The transcript is spliced from 2 exons.
CAUAUACGUGUUUCUCUAUGAUUACCCCUGAAAAUCAGUAAAUAUGAAAUCCUUCCUCGCCAACACCUGGUGUUGUUGAAGAAUCAAUCAGUGUUUGUUGUGAUGACGAUUGACGCAGCGAUCGAAUCGAUUCUCAAAUGCAAUGCUCUUUUCCGUUGAUGUGUACGAGGAUAACACAGUUAAGUUGAUCGAACAUGUAGUGAUAAUUACAAAAUACCGAGGACGUAUUUGUUGGACGUUACGGGACAAUCAUAAGCAAGACGAUGCAUAGCCCAACGGAGGAAUAGCAACACCCAUCAAUAACAAUAAGCUCAUACAUUUAUAACAGCCCAAAAAGAAUGUAGAGCAUGAGAUGUCGCCAUAAACAGAUACAAGGUCCUAAUGAAAAAUGAACCAGGCCCACGCAAUAUAUAAAUAAGUCAUUCAAUGACUAGAGAAAGGGGGUUAUCCAUGAUAUAGCGAUGACACUAUUGUAAACAAUUUGGAGAUGAUGAAUUCUCCCUCAUUAUGCCAAAUUAUAUCAUGCAUUUAUGGAA